RNAcentral lists this ribosomal RNA (383 nucleotides) under Rhinatrema bivittatum (two-lined caecilian). RNAcentral describes it as "partial 12S ribosomal RNA". It matches the Rfam family "Bacterial small subunit ribosomal RNA", at positions 793 to 1384 of the family's 1533-position model. The record is from RNAcentral. Lineage: Eukaryota; Metazoa; Chordata; Amphibia; Gymnophiona; Rhinatrematidae.
UGCCUAGCCACAAACCUUGAAUAUUUACACACAACUCCGCCAGGGGAUUACAAGCAACAGCUUAAAACCCAAAGGACUUGGCGGUACCUCAAACCCGCUCAGAGGAGCCUGUUCUAUAAUCGACACCCCGCGCUAAAACCCAACCACCUAUCGCAACGUCAGCCUAUAUACCACCGUCCCCAGCUUACCUUUUGAAAGAAAAACAGUAAGCAAAGCGACCACAUCAAUACGUCAGGUCAAGGUGUAGCAUAUUAGGUGGAAUGAAAUGGGCUACAUUUUCUUUUUAAGAACAAACGGAUAAUCCUAAUGAAAAUAGCUUUGAAGGCGGAUUUGACAGUAAAAAGAAACCACUAUAUUCUCUUUAAGUCGGCCCUGAGGCACGC